RNAcentral lists this ribosomal RNA (253 nucleotides) under uncultured bacterium. RNAcentral's name for it is "partial 16S ribosomal RNA". It matches the Rfam family "Bacterial small subunit ribosomal RNA", at positions 524 to 776 of the family's 1533-position model. The record is from RNAcentral.
UACGAAGGGGGCUAGCGUUGUUCGGACUUACGGGGCGUAAAGCGCACAUAGGCGGCUCUGUAGGUUGGGGGUGAAAUCCCGAGGCUCAACCUCGGAAUUGCCUUCAAGACUGCAGGGCUUGAGUUCGGGAGAGGUGAGUGAAAUUCCCAGAGUAUAGGUGAAAUUCGUAGAGAUUGGGAAGUACACCAGUGGCGAAGGCGGCUCACUGGCCCGUAACUGACGCUGAGGUGCGAAAGCGUGGGGAGCAAACAGA